RNAcentral lists this long non-coding RNA (1959 nucleotides) under Homo sapiens (human). Its description in RNAcentral is "long non-coding RNA NONHSAT148713.1". The record is from RNAcentral. Lineage: Eukaryota; Metazoa; Chordata; Mammalia; Primates; Hominidae.
CUGGACUGAAUUUUUACCUCAAUGUGCAAAGGCUGAUCAGCCUGAACUUUCUAAAGGACUUUACAAGAAGGGUUUCUAUGGAAUAUUUUGCUAGCUGUGGUGUUCACCGCAUCCCUCUAGUCUUAGAAGAGAAGAUUAUUCCUUUUUUCUGUAGUCAUUGAGUGGGGUAUAUGCAUAAGUGGGAGAGAAAAACCAAACAAUCUACUUCAGUUCAGUGUAACUAUUUAAUUGUGUGGGUCCAUAGACUUUUUAAUGAAGAUUUCUGACUUUGCCACUGUAAAUGCCUUUAAUGAGCAUUAAUUUUUGAAAGUUUUACAGAGUUUUAUUAGUUUUACUACUUUAUCUUAUUGAUCUCUGCAGACUUGUGCUGGUGCAAGUACAUGCUGACAGGCAAUUUGCACUAUAUUUGGCUGCAGAUUCAAAUAGGCAGUUCUCUUAUUUGGUCGACUUUUGUGAAUGUGUGACAUAAACAGAUGUAAUGCAUGUCACAGUGACGGAGAUAACACUGCCAUGAUAAAAGUACUCAUGUUUCCCCUAUUUGGAAAAAAAAAUUGCUUUUAGUAUUUUUCCAAGUUUUCAAAAGUGCCCAUUUUAUGCUGCUGUGUGGUUUGUUAAAUCUAAAUGAUUUUUAAACUUUUCUCAUAGAAACUUAACUUUGGCAAUAAACAUUUUUUAAGGUCUCUCCUCUUCCUUCCCCAACAAUGUAGUUUUCUAGAUGAGAUUUCAGUAUGAUUUUAUCAGCUAUUUCUUAUAUAUCAUAAUCUGGCAAUUUCUGAAACCAGUCAGAAAAGACAUAUAUUUCCAUGCCUUUUUAAAGAAUUAUUUUUACCUGUUUUAUAUUCACAGUUGGUGUCCUGUCACUUUGUUUUAAAAUAAGCUAGAACCAGGAUGCUUCCUUAUUGGAAAGGCUUUGCCAGUCCUUAAGGUACAAUGAGUGAUGCUGCAACUUGCAAAUGUACCAGCAUUUAAAAUUUCUUUUCCUGGGAAUCAAGGACAUGUUGGUGAGGGGCUGGCUGCUUGGCUGCUGCUUUUAUUCACACUUGUUCAGGGAGAGCACAGAGAAUACCCUUCAGCAUGGCCACUCUGGACCCAAGAGGAGGAAAAAACGGAAGCUUUUUUAGGAGAAGGAGGACUUGCUGGAAUCCAAGAUGUGAAGAACUCUUGGUGACUGGCUGGCUGGCCAGCGGGCACCACACCUGCACUUGAGUGCCUCGGGCUUGCUUAUUAAUAACGCACAGAAGAAGCAUCACUUCUCACCAUCUCCUGGCAUGUAUGGAGCAGGGAGCAAGGCUAUGUUCCCGAAAGCCCUGAUUAGCUUGUCUUGCUCUACGCUCGACCUCGAACAAUACAGCUUGUAAGACCUCAGUCAGUCCUGGUACACUGGGGUAAAUCAGUGUGGUGGUGGAAGAAAAGCCGGGAGGCCUAUUUUUAUAGGAAAAUAGUACCAUUAAAGGUGCAAUGCUGUCAUUUUGGACAAAAGGAAAGAAAUUUGGAAGAGCUGGGAUUAUUGGCAAAAACUUGCUGAGGGGUGAAUCUUUAGAGCUAAUCACUGCAGAAUCAGAGUUGCAGCAAUAUGAUUGCAAGCAAGUCUGAAUGCAUAGUUUUACUUUAAUUCGGCUUGACAAUUUGAAUAGGUAACCCCCUCGGGACUGACUGAAUCGUUAUGCAUGUGUCAAUCAAUGGGAGGUGUGCAUUCUCUAGAAGUAGUUUUAGGCUGUUUGGUUUGGUUUUGGUUUUGUUUUUUAAAUGCAGCCUGUUGAGGCACUGUCAUGUGGUGUGAAAGAUUUAAAUGUAGCAACGCUAAAGAGUAAUAAUUUGGGGAUAAGAAGUGGGGACAUUGGCCGGGCGCGGUGGCUCACGCCUGUAAUUCCAGCACUUUGGGAGGCCUAGGUGGGCGGAUCAGCUGAGGUCGAGAGUUCGAGGCCAGUCUGACCAACAUGGUGAAACCCCAUCUCUACU